RNAcentral lists this long non-coding RNA (1026 nucleotides) under Sitophilus oryzae (rice weevil). RNAcentral's name for it is "uncharacterized LOC115890006, transcript variant X2". Lineage: Eukaryota; Metazoa; Arthropoda; Insecta; Coleoptera; Curculionidae. The record is from RNAcentral.
GAAAAAGUGAAAAAAACUUGAACUAAAGUGUUUGCAAGGUUGCCAAGACAUUAGCGAAAUCCUGAAACUAAUCUAAAUCGAUAUAUUGCUCUGGCUCAGGAUUAUUUGUGCAGCAAAAAAUGGCCAUUCUGUUUUACGUGUUCAAUCUGACAAUGUUGACAGUGCAACGACAUUUUCCCUUGUUAGCAGCAACUGUUUGUGUCGCUAAUAAAAUUUUUCUAAUUUUUCAUAGAAAAAGUGAAUUUUCUGUGCACUAUUUGAGUUUAUUCUGUUCCUUAAGGCCUGCUUAAUCUCCUGAAAAUGAGUGUUACUAAUAAUAUAUAUGCACCCUUCCUGCAAAGACCACCUAAAUGAAGAAACCUGGCUCACCGGCCCUUAUAUAAUUCUGAUGUCUUGCUAUGAUUCCAGUUUACGAGAUUGGUUUUACAUUAUAUCCAGUUAAAGCUUUUGUACAAUUAAUCGAUGUAUGUACAGUUCCAGAGCAGUACAUUUAUACUUUUGAUGAGUAAUAUCAAAAAUACAUCAGGACACCUGGACUUCAAUUCAACCAUCCUAUUCCAGAUGCCCUUAGGUUGAUUAAAAUCAACAUUCAACAGUGGAAUGAGUAUUCAACAGUGGAAAUUCGCUAUCAAAGAGGAACUAAAUAAUUUGUAUAUUUAGAUUUUCCACAACAAGUCGAUGGAUGCAUGCAGUUCCAGGGCAGUACAUUUAUCCUUUUGAUGAUGUUCCUUCUAUUCACCAACGAAUUUCAUCAUUUUUAAAUUUAAUUAACUGCACUCCAAACACCUUCUUCAAGAUGCCAUCAGGCUGAUUAAAUUCAGGAUUUAACAGUGGAAUGAGGAUGAAAUUCAUCAUUGAAGAGGAAACUAGUUAAUUUUAGAACCAAGACUUUCCACAAGGGUAGCCGGAAGAUUUAUUUAUUACCUCAACAUAGACAUCAGCAUCUCCAUCAAGACCUUGGAUUAAAAUCCAAGGUUUUGCUAUGUGUAUUAAGAUAUAUAUUUUAUAUUAAUAUUGUUAAUACAA